UCCUAUAUUAUGUCGGGUAAUCGAGAUAUAUCUUUUUGUAUACACACGCGAUGAGAGAUGUGUAUACAAUAAGUUAUAUGCGGUGUUGUAUGAAUGAUUCUCUAAGCCAUGGAUGGCUUCCUUCACUUUCACUCAAAGUUAGGUUUGAAUAUGAUGACUGAAAUUUUUCCUAUAGAACUUUGACUAUAGUGAAAAGAAAACAGCACUUUUCACGUAGACAAACAGAUGAAGUAAGGCUUGGGUUAGAGGAGCAUGUAUAUAUGAUGUUGUCUUUUGUAGAGGAGCAUCUGUUGUCAGCAUGCUCACAGAUGAUGAUGUAUAUGCUAAGAAGAAGAGGUGGCUGGGUGAGUGGGUGCGGGGGCUUCCAACAUGGCUCAUGGCGUUAGUCGUGGAGGAGUUGAUGUACCCAAUUUCUAAGAUUUGUUUGAUAAAUAAAAUGCAUCUUUUGUACGAAAAGACAAAAGGACUUAGGUCCACCAAAAACAAGAGAUCAAAAGUAAAGGUCGACUCGUCUCUAGUCGGGGCUAUGAUUGCACCCCAAAGAUUAUUUUUCUAAAGAAUAGUGCUUGGUUAUAUCUUUAGCCUACGGCUGAAGAUGUAGAAAUUUAG
Molecule: long non-coding RNA, 609 nt
Filed under: Malus domestica (apple)
Lineage: Eukaryota; Viridiplantae; Streptophyta; Magnoliopsida; Rosales; Rosaceae
Description: long non-coding RNA (MDOM_LNC009822)
Source: RNAcentral